CAGGACUCGCAAGACUCCGUACAACCACUGUGAACUUCACUACAACACGUUGCCUUCGGCGGGUGUCUCGGCGAGGUCCUCCUGGGACCUGCUCAGGGGCGCUCAGCCCGCCGGCAGGCCUACUAUACUCUGUCUCUUGUACGUUGGCAUCUCGAGAAAGACUAAACGAGUUA
Molecule: unclassified non-coding RNA, 173 nt
Filed under: soil metagenome
Description: partial internal transcribed spacer 1
Source: RNAcentral